Molecule: unclassified non-coding RNA, 693 nt
Filed under: uncultured bacterium
Lineage: Bacteria
Description: partial contains 16S ribosomal RNA, 16S-23S ribosomal RNA intergenic spacer, and 23S ribosomal RNA
Rfam family: tRNA (bases 131-204)
Source: RNAcentral
GUCGUAACAAGGUAGCCGUAUCGGAAGGUGCGGCUGGAUCACCUCCUUUCUGGAAAACAGCAUUCAAGAUUGAACGCCCACACUUAUCGGUUGUUGGAAGACAAGUGAAGUCGGUUGCAAGACCGGCCAGGGGUCUGUAGCUCAGCUGGUUAGAGCACCGUCUUGAUAAGGCGGGGGUCGUUGGUUCGAGCCCAACUAGACCCACCACAAUCUUCCGAACAUCCAGUGCAAGAGGAUCACAGGGGGAUUAGCUCAGCUGGGAGAGCACCUGCUUUGCAAGCAGGGGGUCGUCGGUUCGAUCCCGUCAUCCUCCACCAACACCUUAAAUCAACACCAAAGCAGCUUUGCAAGAGGCUGUUUUGUUGUUGAUCGAGAUAGUUCGAUCAAUCGGCUGUUCUUUAAAAAUUCAUAGAGUCGAAUCAGCGUUGCUAGCGGAAAGCACUGAGAGGUGCACCGUGCCGCUAGCAACCUAAAUUUGAUUGCGUCAAAACGAACGAAAGCAAUUUUGUUCAAGUAAUGACGAAUCGUUCUCUAGGCUGCGUUGAAAGACGCAACCGAAGAAACAUUCACAUUACGGCAUAACGCGCGAGGUGAAAGGCCUCGCAAGUCUUUGAACUCGAAAUGGCGAUUUCUUGCAAGAGAAGUCAAAGUUAUAGGGUCAAGUGACUAAGAGCAUGUGGUGGAUGCCUUGGC